RNAcentral lists this ribosomal RNA (98 nucleotides) under Microcebus murinus (gray mouse lemur). Lineage: Eukaryota; Metazoa; Chordata; Mammalia; Primates; Cheirogaleidae. The record is from RNAcentral.
GUCUACAGCCAUACCACCCUGAACAUGCCCGAUCACUUCUGAUCUCACAAGCUAAACAGGGUAUGGCCUGGUUAGUAUUUGGACGGGAGGUGUGGAAA